GGCCGCGUAGCGUAAUGGUUAACGCGCCACUUUCCGGAGGUGGAGAUUGCAGGUUCGAUCCCUGCCGUGGUCG
Molecule: transfer RNA, 73 nt
Filed under: Flammulina velutipes KACC42780
Lineage: Eukaryota; Fungi; Basidiomycota; Agaricomycetes; Agaricales; Physalacriaceae
Description: tRNA-Arg (CCG) (tRNA-Arg-CCG-1-1, tRNA-Arg-CCG-1-2)
Rfam family: tRNA
About the family: Transfer RNA (tRNA) molecules are approximately 80 nucleotides in length.
Source: RNAcentral